RNAcentral lists this RNase P RNA (346 nucleotides) under Lachnospiraceae bacterium. Its description in RNAcentral is "RNase P RNA component class A". It matches the Rfam family "Bacterial RNase P class A". From Rfam's summary of the family: Ribonuclease P (RNase P) is a ubiquitous endoribonuclease, found in archaea, bacteria and eukarya as well as chloroplasts and mitochondria. Its best characterised activity is the generation of mature 5'-ends of tRNAs by cleaving the 5'-leader elements of precursor-tRNAs. Cellular RNase Ps are ribonucleoproteins. The record is from RNAcentral. Lineage: Bacteria; Bacillati; Bacillota; Clostridia; Lachnospirales; Lachnospiraceae.
UAAGUAGGAUAAAUGGUCGCGGCUGGCAGGCCGAAAGGUGCCAGACGAGGAAAGUCCGGGCUUCACAGGGCAGGAUGCCGGAUAACGUCCGGUGGAGGCGACUCCAAGGAAAGUGCAACAGAAAUAAACCGCCGGCCUGGGGCCGGUAAGGGUGGAAAGGCAGUGUAAGAGACUACCGCCUUCCUGGUAACAGGAGGGGCACAUGUAAACCCCAUCCGAAGCAAGACCGAAACAAAGCAUAUGGCGGCCCGUCAGCUUUAGGUAGGUCGCUGGAGCCUGCUGGCAACAGCAGGCCUGGAUAGAUGACCAUUCACGACAUAACCCGGCUUAUCGUCCUGCUUACGAU